This is a long non-coding RNA of Sarcophilus harrisii (Tasmanian devil), 1892 nucleotides long. RefSeq lists it as uncharacterized. The transcript is spliced from 3 exons. The record is from RefSeq and is a predicted model, not a curated record. Lineage: Eukaryota; Metazoa; Chordata; Mammalia; Dasyuromorphia; Dasyuridae.
GAGAGAAAGAGAUUGAGAUUGAAGGUUCACAGGUGGAGGUAGAGGAAGGAAGCAAGGGAGAGGAGAGAAAAGGAGGAACAGAUGAAAGAUAUGAUCUCAGAUUAAUGAAAGAAUGGGUCUAUGAGACAGCUGUAUCACUGACAGGGAGUGACCGAUCACAGCAAAGAUCAAUCAGUGAAACUCCCAGGUGAGCAGAAAAGGGGAGCUUCCACAACAAUACUGCAAAAUGGUCCAUUUUUCCUAAAGUGGGAAAGAGAGUAUUCAGGGAGGGAAAAGCCAACAGCCUUGAAUUCUCUCUCUCUCAAGAUUCUAGAAACCAUUUCAGUACUGGUCACAAAGGGCAAAUGUUGCUAGUUACUGUCACUAAGGCUGGAACUUGCCAGACUCAUCCAGCUCUCCGGUGCCACAAGUCUCUCCAAAAGCCCAGUGUUGUGCAGGAAACAUUUCAUCAGUGUGAACUAUUCAGCUUGCUACUCUAGGACCUUGUGUUAAUGAAAGAACAAGCCAACAGGACAGCUGCCACUGCCAGAGAGGGACCAGUCACGGCAAGGGAUCAAUCAGUGAAAACCCCUGGUAAAUGACAGACCAGGAAGAUGCUUCAGCCAAGUCAGUGCCAGCCUGUGAUCUCUCACUGGACCCCCUGGUGAGUGACAAAAGGGGCCCCAGGCUGGGAUCCUAAAAAGGGCCCUUUAUUCCAAAACGGGGUAGAAGGUAGACAUCAUUCAGUUGUUAAGCUAAUUGUUUUGACUUCUCUUCUGCAAGAUUCUAGAAUACCUUGAAAGAAUUAUGAAAAGUACUGGUCACUUAAAGGGGUAAGUCUAGUUAGCUUAAUGAAGCACAUAUCAUACCAGAAAAAAUUUGUACUGCAUUGCCUCAUGGAUUUAAGAAAAUUACUAUGGUGAGUAGAAAAGUUGUCCCAGGGUAAAAUGGGGCAAAAGACCAUUUUUCAUAAAAUCGGAUAGAAACUAAUAUCUGGACAUUAUAGUCCAACGAUCCUGAUUUCUCUCUUCCCCAACGUUCUAGAUCACAUUCACCAGUUGAGCACCAAGUGUCAGUAAGGACCAGUAUUGUCCCUAAGUAUGGGUCACACCCCAGUCAUCAGGCUUUGGCUUGAUUUACCUUUUAAAAUCUAACCUUGUGCUAGGAAGUUUUCAUCAGUACUUUUGCCAGUAGCUAGCUCCUUAAACCGUGCUCACCAUGCAUAUGGGGCUUUGUAAGUAAAGGUUGUGGUUUGGGAAAUUAUAUUUUACUGUCAUGCAUUGUUUCCUUUGCAUACCCAUUUUAUAUAAUGAUAUUACUGGAGUCCCCUUAAAAUUUUUAAGACGAAGGAGGUCACCAGGGGGGAAAUGUACAAGAAGCUUAGGUCUUUAAAAUUUGCUAACAUUUUGACCAAGUAUAUAUCACUUCUAUGAAGAGAGUGAAAUGGAUGGUGAGAGAGAAUGAAAAAGAAAAAGAGAGAGAGAAAAAACAAGGAACAUUCAGCAGAAGGAUAUAAGGGGGACAGAGGGAAGGAAGGAAGAAAAGGAGGAAAGAAGGAAGGGAGAAAAGGGAAGGAAAAAUAAAAAAGAAAGGAAAAACUGACAAGACUCAUUUACUUUUAAUCAGCAGAGCCUGGUGAAAGCACUUCUCAUGUUAAAGAAAAAAUGGCCAGUGGGAAUAUGCCAACCUGGGAUCUCUCAGUGGAGCCUCUGGUGAGUAGGAAAGCUGACCCUGGAUUAAAAUGGGGGAUAUGUCCCUUGAUUCCUAAAAUGGGAUAGAGAGUAAUGGCUGGAUGGUCUAAGGCAAGGAUCCUGACUGCCCUCUUCCCCAACAUUCUAGAUCUCAUUCUACAGUUGAGCAGCAAGUGUCAAUAAGAAUCAAUGGCUUCACUAAAUAUGGGUCACAUCCCAAUA